Danio aesculapii is the source of this 683-nucleotide long non-coding RNA. RefSeq lists it as uncharacterized. The record is from RefSeq and is a predicted model, not a curated record. NCBI's taxonomy places the organism in Eukaryota, Metazoa, Chordata, Actinopteri, Cypriniformes, Danionidae. The transcript is spliced from 3 exons.
AUGGAGGGGAGGGAUAAUUUCUUCAAGUGGCUCUAUGAUUGGCCGAAGCUCCACAAGGCGUGUUUGCUAAUUGGAUUAUUUCGCUGACAGCUAAGGCUACAUAUGGCCAAUCCCGCGAUUUGAUUGGCUCUCAGUAUGUCAUUUACCGUCACGAAGCUUGAACUGUAGUUUGUUUUACGCACAAAAUGCAUCGCAGCGUCCGUCUCGAGGGGGACGCAAGGGUCAUGUUUGGGGCGACGUGUUUUUGAUGACAGCUUUAAAACACCAUUAGGCUUUGUUUUUGUCUUACCUGCUUUCUGGAACCAUUCUUCACCGGACUCAUACCCCGUUGUGGCAGUCAACUUCACACUGCGUCACAAAGCUACCGGACAAAUUGGUAACAGUUGAAAAGACGUCCAUAUGGAGGUGCUGUUGGCAGCCCUGCUUUGGAGACCUUGAGAGGGAACUGCAUUUGAUGAGCCGUCAAAUGAGUGAACAAGCCGGCUGGAGGCUUCAGUGAAGCAGGCUGCUUUAAUUCAUCGCUUGUGACACAGAACAGGCUCACGGAUAUAGUCAACACUUCCCAGCCUGCCUUCGCUUCUGAAUGUUUUCUACUAUGACAGAAUGGUUUUUUUAAGCUCUUGCAUGUCUCAUCCUUAUGAAAGCUUUUUCCUCUUUCACCUUUGUGCCAUAUCAUCUUUUCA